GACUCGGUGGCGGAUGGUCCGCCUCUGCGCCUGCUAUAUAAUUGCCAAGGAUGUACUUUGGCAGAAGACGCCUGUUCGAAUCAGGCCCGAGUCA
Mycena epipterygia is the source of this 94-nucleotide non-coding RNA. The record is from the annotation of a GenBank genome assembly. NCBI's taxonomy places the organism in Eukaryota, Fungi, Basidiomycota, Agaricomycetes, Agaricales, Mycenaceae.